UCAUGUUAAAUAGAUGUCAGUUGGCUUUUGGCGCUUUUGGCACCAAACAUGCAAUUAGAGCAUGGAAAGUUGAGGAAUUUCUGGCGGGAAAACUUUUAACAAUUGAUAUUCUGUAUGAUGCUAUUAAAUUAAUUAGUUAAAGCUAAUGUAAUGCCUGAAGAUGGGACUAGGAAUCCUACAUAUAGGUCAAGCUUGGCUGUUGGUUUUCUUUUUGCCUUUCUUAGCCCC
Molecule: unclassified non-coding RNA, 228 nt
Filed under: Hevea brasiliensis (rubber tree)
Lineage: Eukaryota; Viridiplantae; Streptophyta; Magnoliopsida; Malpighiales; Euphorbiaceae
Source: RNAcentral